AAGUCGUAACAAGGUUUCCGUAGGUGAACCUGCGGAAGGAUCAUUAUUGAAUAUUCUUGAUGGGUUGUAGCUGGCUCUUCGGGGCAUGUGCACGCCUGUCUUGACUUUAUUCAUCCACCUGUGCACCUUUUGUAGUCUUGGGGGUUGAGAGCAGUCAAUAAUCGGAUGACCAUUUGGUCACUCCGGGUGUGAGGAAUGCUGAGUGCGAAAGCAUACAGCUCUUCUCAAAGUGACUUGUAAUCCUCUCCUUCAAGUACUAUGUAUUCAUAUACCCAUAGUAUGUUGUAGAAUGUGAUCAAUGGGCUUAAGUGCCUAUAACAAUCAUAUACAACUUUCAGCAACGGAUCUCUUGGCUCUC
This 358-nucleotide unclassified non-coding RNA is filed under the name Calvatia cyathiformis. Its description in RNAcentral is "partial internal transcribed spacer region". The stretch from base 1 to 46 matches the Rfam family "Eukaryotic small subunit ribosomal RNA", at positions 1786 to 1831 of the family's 1831-position model. The record is from RNAcentral. Lineage: Eukaryota; Fungi; Basidiomycota; Agaricomycetes; Agaricales; Lycoperdaceae.